GCGUGGAUUAGGCAUGCAAGUCGAGCGGAAAGGCCCUCUUCGGGGGGUACUCGAGCGGCGAAAGGGAGAGUAAUACGUGGAUCAUCUACCCCCGGGUCCGGGAUAGCCACGGGAAACUGUGGGUAAUACCGGAUGAUGUCUCCGGACCAAAGGUGCGAUUCCUGCCCAGGGUAUGAGUCCACGUCCUACUAGCUUGUUGGUGGGGUAAAGGCCUACCAAUGCAACGAUGGGUACCGGGCGUGAGAGCGUGAUCCGGCUCACUGGGACUGAGACACUGCCCAGACACCUACGGGUGGCUGCAGUCGAGAAUCUUCGGCAAUGGACGAAAGUCUGACCGAGCGACGCCGUGUGUGUGAUGAAGGCCUUCGGGUUGUAAAACACUGUCAGUUGAGAGGAAAUCUCUUGGAGCUAUCUCCUUGAGUUGACCAACCUUCAGAGGAAGGACGGGCUAAGUUCGUGCCAGCAGCCGCGGUAAGACGAACCGUCCAAACGUUAUUCGGAAUCACUGGGCUUAAAGGGUGCGUAGGCGGCCUGUCAAGUGGGGUGUGAAAUACCUCGGCUCAACCGAGGAAUUGCGCUCCAAACUGAUAGGCUAGAGGAAGGCAGAGGUAAGCGGAACUUGCGGUGGAGCGGUGAAAUGCUUUGAUAUCGCAAGGAACACCAGUGGCGAAGGCGGCUUACUGGGCCUUUUCUGACGCUCAGGCACGAAAGCUAGGGGAGCGAACGGGAUUAGAUACCCCAGUAGUCCUAGCUGUAAACGUUGAGCACUUGGUCAGGGGACUCCCCAUAGUCUCUUGGCCGUAGCGAAAGUGGUAAGUGCUCCGUCUGGGGAGUAUGGGUCGCAAGGCUGAAACUCAAAGGGAAUUGACCGGGGGCUCACACAAGCGGUGGGAGGAUGUGGGUUAAUUCGAGGCUAAGCGAAGAAACCUUAUCCUAGAUUUGACCUGCCGGAUGCGCUACCCGAAAGGGGAUAGUGCUGCCCUUUAUGGUGAUACGUGCACAGGUGCUGCAUGGCUGUCGUCAGCUCGUGUCGUGAGAUGU
This 1041-nucleotide ribosomal RNA is filed under the name uncultured organism. RNAcentral's name for it is "bacterial SSU rRNA". It matches the Rfam family "Bacterial small subunit ribosomal RNA", at positions 42 to 1075 of the family's 1533-position model. The record is from RNAcentral.